CGCAUCUGUGCAUGCAGCAUAUCAAUAAGCGGAGGAAAAGAAACUAACAAGGAUUCCCCUAGUAACGGCGAGUGAAGCGGGAAGAGCUCAAAUUUGAAAUCUUCAAGGGUUUACCUUUACGAAUUGUAGUUUAAAGAAGUGUUUUCUGUUGAGGUUUUGGUAAAAGUUCUUUGGAAUAGGACAUCAUAGAGGGUGAGAAUCCCGUAUUUGACCAUUACUUUCAACUGUGUGAUACACUUUCAAAGAGUCGGAUUGUUUGGGAAUGCAGUCCAAAAUGGGUGGUAAAUUUCAUCUAAAGCUAAAUAUUGGCGAGAGACCGAUAGCGAACAAGUACCGUGAGGGAAAGAUGAAAAGAACUUUGAAAAGAGAGUUAAACAGUACGUGAAAUUGUCAAAAGGGAAGCGUUUGACACCAGUGUUGUUUUCUCGAAAAUCAAUUAAAAAGAGUUGGAUUUUGUGUUGUAUUGACCUUAACAGCUUGCUUCACUCUUUUCCAGCUUUUUUUAAUGCACUUUUCGUUUAACAAGUCAACAUCAGUUUCUUUUGUUGUAAAAGGGUCAUUGGAAGGUGGCUUUCUCUUCGGAGAAAGUGUUUAUAGCCUUUGAUCUCUGCAAUCGGAGAGACUGAGGUCUGCAGCGUAGAUCCUUCGGGGUUAGAUACAUUUGUGCUAAGCUACAGCUUUUCAUAGACAACUUGUUGACUAUAUUUAGUCUUGUGACUUACCCGCUUAUGCUAUUUUACCUACGCUUAGGAUGUUGAUAUGCAUGACUGAUAU
Molecule: ribosomal RNA, 774 nt
Filed under: uncultured Neocallimastigales
Lineage: Eukaryota; Fungi; Neocallimastigomycota; Neocallimastigomycetes; Neocallimastigales
Description: partial large subunit ribosomal RNA
Rfam family: Eukaryotic large subunit ribosomal RNA
Source: RNAcentral